CACGUAGGGGGCAAGCGUUGUCCGGAUUUAUUGGGUGUAAAGAGCUCGUAGGUGGUUCGGUAAGUCGGGUGUUAAACCCCCAGGCUCAACCUGGGGACGCCACUCGAUACUGCUGUGACUAGAGUCCGGUAGGGGAGCGUGGAAUUCCUGGUGUAGCGGUGAAAUGCGCAGAUAUCAGGAGGAACACCAGCGGCGAAGGCGGCGCUCUGGGCCGGUACUGACACUGAGGAGCGAAAGCGUGGGUAGCAAACAGG
This 254-nucleotide ribosomal RNA is filed under the name uncultured bacterium. RNAcentral describes it as "partial 16S ribosomal RNA". It matches the Rfam family "Bacterial small subunit ribosomal RNA", at positions 524 to 776 of the family's 1533-position model. The record is from RNAcentral.